This 338-nucleotide ribosomal RNA is filed under the name Staphylococcus aureus. Its description in RNAcentral is "bacterial SSU rRNA". It matches the Rfam family "Bacterial small subunit ribosomal RNA", at positions 431 to 761 of the family's 1533-position model. Lineage: Bacteria; Bacillati; Bacillota; Bacilli; Caryophanales; Staphylococcaceae. The record is from RNAcentral.
CUCUGUUAUUAGGGAAGAACAUAUGUGUAAGUAACUGUGCACAUCUUGACGGUACCUAAUCAGAAAGCCACGGCUAACUACGUGCCAGCAGCCGCGGUAAUACGUAGGUGGCAAGCGUUAUCCGGAAUUAUUGGGCGUAAAGCGCGCGUAGGCGGUUUUUUAAGUCUGAUGUGAAAGCCCACGGCUCAACCGUGGAGGGUCAUUGGAAACUGGAAAACUUGAGUGCAGAAGAGGAAAGUGGAAUUCCAUGUGUAGCGGUGAAAUGCGCAGAGAUAUGGAGGAACACCAGUGGCGAAGGCGACUUUCUGGUCUGUAACUGACGCUGAUGUGCGAAAGCG